UACGUAGGUGGCAAGCGUUGUCCGGAAUUAUUGGGCGUAAAGCGCGCGCAGGCGGUCUUUUAAGUCUGAUGUGAAAGCCCACGGCUCAACCGUGGAAGGUCAUUGGAAACUGAAAGACUUGAGUACAGAAGAGGAAAGCGGAAUUCCACGUGUAGCGGUGAAAUGCGUAGAGAUGUGGAGGAACACCAGUGGCGAAGGCGGCUUUCUGGUCUGUAACUGACGCUGAGGCGCGAAAGCGUGGGGAGCAAACAGG
RNAcentral lists this ribosomal RNA (253 nucleotides) under uncultured bacterium. Its description in RNAcentral is "partial 16S ribosomal RNA". It matches the Rfam family "Bacterial small subunit ribosomal RNA", at positions 524 to 776 of the family's 1533-position model. The record is from RNAcentral.